AUUGAACGCUGGCGGCAGGCCUAACACAUGCAAGUCGAGCGGAUGAAGGGAGCUUGCUCCUGGAUUCAGCGGCGGACGGGUGAGUAAUGCCUAGGAAUCUGCCUGGUAGUGGGGGAUAACGUCCGGAAACGGGCGCUAAUACCGCAUACGUCCUGAGGGAGAAAGUGGGGGAUCUUCGGACCUCACGCUAUCAGAUGAGCCUAGGUCGGAUUAGCUAGUUGGUGGGGUAAAGGCCUACCAAGGCGACGAUCCGUAACUGGUCUGAGAGGAUGAUCAGUCAACAUGGAACCUGAGACCCGGCCCGGACCCUUAGGGAAGGCAGAAGUGGGAAAUAUGGGAAAAGGGGGGAAAGCCGGUCCAAGCCAGGCGGGUGGGUGGAAGAAGUUCUCCGGUUUGUAAGCCCUUUUAGGUGGGGGGAAAGGCAGUAAGUUUAAAACUUGCUUUUUUGACGUUAACCACCAAAAAAGCCCCGGCCAACUUCGUG
This 484-nucleotide ribosomal RNA is filed under the name uncultured bacterium. RNAcentral's name for it is "partial 16S ribosomal RNA". It matches the Rfam family "Bacterial small subunit ribosomal RNA", at positions 30 to 507 of the family's 1533-position model. The record is from RNAcentral.